CUUACACAUGCAAGUCGAACGGCAGCAUGAUCUAGCUUGCUAGAUUGAUGGCGAGUGGCGAACGGGUGAGUAAUACAUCGGAACGUGCCCUGUAGUGGGGGAUAACUAGUCGAAAGAUUAGCUAAUACCGCAUACGACCUGAGGGUGAAAGUGGGGGACCGCAAGGCCUCAUGCUAUAGGAGCGGCCGAUGUCUGAUUAGCUAGUUGGUGAGGUAAAGGCUCACCAAGGCGACGAUCAGUAGCUGGUCUGAGAGGACGAUCAGCCACACUGGGACUGAGACACGGCCCAGACUCCUACGGGAGGCAGCAGUGGGGAAUUUUGGACAAUGGGCGAAAGCCUGAUCCAGCAAUGCCGCGUGUGUGAAGAAGGCCUUCGGGUUGUAAAGCACUUUUGUCCGGAAAGAAAUGGCUCUGGUUAAUACCUGGGGUCGAUGACGGUACCGGAAGAAUAAGGACCGGCUAACUACGUGCCAGCAGCCGCGGUAAUACGUAGGGUCCAAGCGUUAAUCGGAAUUACUGGGCGUAAAGCGUGCGCAGGCGGUUGUGCAAGACCGAUGUGAAAUCCCCGAGCUUAACUUGGGAAUUGCAUUGGUGACUGCACGGCUAGAGUGUGUCAGAGGGGGGUAGAAUUCCACGUGUAGCAGUGAAAUGCGUAGAGAUGUGGAGGAAUACCGAUGGCGAAGGCAGCCCCCUGGGAUAACACUGACGCUCAUGCACGAAAGCGUGGGGAGCAAACAGGAUUAGAUACCCUGGUAGUCCACGCCCUAAACGAUGUCAACUAGUUGUUGGGGAUUCAUUUCCUUAGUAACGUAGCUAACGCGUGGAGUUGACCGCCUGGGGAGUACGGUCGCAAGAUUAAAACUCAAAGGAUUUGACGGGGACCCGCACAAGCGGUGGAUGAUGUGGAUUAAUUCGAUGCAACGCGAAAAACCUUUACCUUACUCCUUGAC
This 950-nucleotide ribosomal RNA is filed under the name uncultured beta proteobacterium. RNAcentral describes it as "bacterial SSU rRNA". It matches the Rfam family "Bacterial small subunit ribosomal RNA", at positions 48 to 985 of the family's 1533-position model. The record is from RNAcentral. Lineage: Bacteria; Pseudomonadati; Pseudomonadota; Betaproteobacteria.